GACGAACGCUGGCGGCGUGCUUAACACAUGCAAGUCGAACGAAGAGCGAUGGAAGCUUGCUUCUAUCAAUCUUAGUGGCGAACGGGUGAGUAACGCGUAAUCAACCUGCCCUUCAGAGGGGGACAACAGUUGGAAACGACUGCUAAUACCGCAUACGAUCUAAUCUCGGCAUCGAGGAUAGAUGAAAGGUGGCCUCUACAUGUAAGCUAUCACUGAAGGAGGGGAUUGCGUCUGAUUAGCUAGUUGGAGGGGUAACGGCCCACCAAGGCGAUGAUCAGUAGCCGGUCUGAGAGGAUGAACGGCCACAUUGGGACUGAGACACGGCCCAGACUCCUACGGGAGGCAGCAGUGGGGAAUCUUCCGCAAUGGACGAAAGUCUGACGGAGCAACGCCGCGUGAGUGAUGACGGCCUUCGGGUUGUAAAGCCCUGUUAAUCGGGACGAAAGGCCUUCUUGCGAAUAGUGAGAAGGAUUGACGGUACCGGAAUAGAAAGCCACGGCUAACUACGUG
This 510-nucleotide ribosomal RNA is filed under the name uncultured bacterium. Its description in RNAcentral is "partial 16S ribosomal RNA". It matches the Rfam family "Bacterial small subunit ribosomal RNA", at positions 28 to 507 of the family's 1533-position model. The record is from RNAcentral.